Molecule: ribosomal RNA, 255 nt
Filed under: uncultured Actinomycetales bacterium
Lineage: Bacteria; Bacillati; Actinomycetota; Actinomycetes; Actinomycetales
Description: partial 16S ribosomal RNA
Rfam family: Bacterial small subunit ribosomal RNA
Source: RNAcentral
UUUUGUGGGGUGCUCGAGUGGCGAACGGGUGAGUAACACGUAAGUAACCUGCCCUUGACUUUGGGAUAACUUCAGGAAACUGGGGCUAAUACCGGAUAGGAGCUCCUGCUGCAUGGUGGGGGUUGGAAAGUUUCGGCGGUUGGGGAUGGACUCGCGGCUUAUCAGCUUGUUGGUGGGGUAGUGGCUUACCAAGGCUUUGACGGGUAGCCGGCCUGAGAGGGUGACCGGCCACAUUGGGACUGAGAUACGGCCCAG